RNAcentral lists this ribosomal RNA (431 nucleotides) under uncultured bacterium. Its description in RNAcentral is "partial 16S ribosomal RNA". It matches the Rfam family "Bacterial small subunit ribosomal RNA", at positions 29 to 507 of the family's 1533-position model. The record is from RNAcentral.
AACGAACGCUGGCGGCAUGCCUAACACAUGCAAGUCGAACGAGACCUUCGGGUCUAGUGGCGCACGGGUGCGUAACGCGUGGGAACCUGCCCUUAGGUUCGGAAUAACUCCCCGAAAGGGGUGCUAAUACCGGAUAAUGUCUUCGGACCAAAGAUUUAUCGCCUUUGGAUGGGCCCGCGUUGGAUUAGCUAGUUGGUAGGGUAAGCCUACCAAGGCGACGAUCCAUAGCUGGUCUGAGAGGAUGAUCAGCCACACUGGGACUGAGACACGGCCCAGACUCCUACGGGAGGCAGCAGUGGGGAAUAUUGGACAAUGGGCGAAAGCCUGAUCCAGCAAUGCCGCGUGAGUGAUGAAGGCCUUAGGGUUGUAAAGCUCUUUUACCCGGGAUGAUAAUGACAGUACCGGGAGAAUAAGCUCCGGCUAACUCCGUG